CCUUUUUUCCACAGACUAGUUUUUGUCUCCAACAGUGACUCUGACUUGACCACUUUGGUCUGUUAUGCACUACUGUUCUGAGGCUUUUGCAAGAGGAAAUAGCAACAUAACAUGAAGAUGAUUGUUGUGGCCCAUACCGAUGAGCAGGAAGCAGAAAACAUUGAGUCAUCAUUCCUGCGUCACCUUCUGCAUCUCUCCAACCUUUUUCUACAAACCUCCAAGGAAACCUGGACUUUGAAACCCAUCACACUUGUGAAUAAGACCAAAAUGUAGGCUCCACGGUCAUGGGUGAAAAGCACAAUGUUCAGAUCUUAUACUGUACAAAUAAUUCUCAUGGUUAAUAAAUAAUUAAUUCUGUACUUA
Molecule: non-coding RNA, 363 nt
Organism: Miniopterus natalensis
Lineage: Eukaryota; Metazoa; Chordata; Mammalia; Chiroptera; Miniopteridae
Source: RefSeq, a predicted model, not a curated record